GAUUAUGGCUCAGGACGAACGCUGGCGGCGUGCUUAACACAUGCAAGUCGAACGAGGAUUAGCGGAUUGAGAGUUCGACAGGAUUGAAGCUAAUCGAGUGGCGGACGGGUGAGUAACGCGUGAGCAAUCUGUCCCAGACAGGGGGAUAACACUUGGAAACAGGUGCUAAUACCGCAUAAGACCACGGCAUCGCAUGAUGCAGGGGUAAAAGGAGCAAUCCGGUUUGGGGUGAGUUCGCGUCCGAUUAGAUAGUUGGUGAGGUAACGGCCCACCAAGUCGACGAUCGGUAGCCGACCUGAGAGGGUGAUCGGCCACAUUGGAACUGAGAGACGGUCCAAACUCCUACGGGAGGCAGCAGUGGGGAAUAUUGGGCAAUGGGCGAAAGCCCUGACCCAGCAACGCCGCGUGAGUGAUGAAGGCCCUCGGGUUGUAAAGCUCUGUUAUAGGGGACGAAGGAAGUGACGGUACCCUAUAAGGAAGCCCCGGCUAACUACGUGCCAGCAGCGGC
RNAcentral lists this ribosomal RNA (508 nucleotides) under uncultured bacterium. RNAcentral's name for it is "bacterial SSU rRNA". It matches the Rfam family "Bacterial small subunit ribosomal RNA", at positions 15 to 518 of the family's 1533-position model. The record is from RNAcentral.